Molecule: long non-coding RNA, 2397 nt
Organism: Antechinus flavipes (yellow-footed antechinus)
Lineage: Eukaryota; Metazoa; Chordata; Mammalia; Dasyuromorphia; Dasyuridae
Exons: 2
Source: RefSeq, a predicted model, not a curated record
GUUUUCCUUUUGAUUUCACAUUUUGUUCUCAGAUUACAAGGUGGCAAAGGCUACAUCUGGAAUUAAAUUUGCUUUCAAGUUAAUAGAUAGUGAUAUAGGGUUUGCCUUAUGGUAUUAGGAAGUGGCAUCAUUAGGACAAAAUGUCAAACCUUUUGGAUAUGAGUGUCCCUCCCAUGUGACUGAUUUUCUUGAAAAGCAUUUAAUGAAAUGCUUCUUCACUUUUGGAUAUCAUGUCUAGCUCUCUGAAUAGGCAACAAUCAAGUCAAAAUGAAAAGAAAAUGAGUGAGCUGUGUGGUGGAACAAAGGAAAUCAAGGAGGGGCUAUCUGUGGGCAAAAUGGAAUGGCCCCCACUGGGGAGUUCUUGGCCAGGUGGGUUGGCUCCAAAGAAUUUGUGUCCAAUACUGGGAGUAAGGGAGAACAGAGAGUUGUUGCCUCCAUUGGACUUCCUUGGACCCAUCUGGGCAGCCUGGCCGUGACCCCUGGGUAACAGGGACCGUUUCACCCCCAUAGAGGGCUUGUGGAUACUGGCAUGUGGUAGUGUGCUAAGAUUUGGCCUGAGCCCAGGGUAAGAAAGGAGGCAGGUAGCUCUUAAGAGUCCAGGGCUCCUUAUCAUCUGAAGGUGUGUUAUUAAGUAGCACAUCACUUCUGUCCCAUGAAGAGAGGAUGCUUUCAAGGAUGGAGAGGGUCCUUGAAAGACUGAAAUUUAAGCCUAGAUUGCCUAAAGCUGUUUUGGAAAAGGGAUUUUGGGAAACACUAGGUUUUGUGGGUAAUGCCUCAGUGUGGAUUAUGGAAUGUCAACCAAUAACAAAUGAAAUAUCACAAGACACAGAGAGUGGGAAUGAAGGAGAGAAGGGGAGGGACACAAAUCUAUUCCUAUCAAGAACAAUAUUUUUUGAAAUUAAAAAGCAUCGAUAAAAUGAAUAAUGAAUAAGUACAAUUAAUGGGAUAAACCAAAGCUGCACCAACAUGUUAUCCAAGAAGUGGGAAAGUGGAUGAAAUUCACCUGUUUGCCCUGAGCUUCAGAGUUCCAGGGCCCCAGCUAGUCAAAAAUUGCGCCAAGUUCAGCUAAAGGGUUGAGCAGAGAGGGCUUGUCUCAGUCCCUUGUGGGUAAGGGGACGAGGGCAUUUGCUUUUCAUGGAGCUCAAAGUAAGGAUUCAAAGUACAAGAUAGCCAAGGCUUAAGUUUGGAUCGAAUGUGUAUUACAGUGGGUGGAUAUUGGUAGUUUGGAGACAUUGUCUCUAAAGGAAGAGGGAUAUUUAGUGGACACAAUGCCCCAGGUUUCCUUGUCUUUUCAGCUUCGGGACAGAGCUUCUGUAGGGAGUAGGAACAUGUCAGUCUUAGGGGAUGUGGACUUGAUUGUUCUGGAAUGGUUUUUCUGCACAUUUUUUUUCAUUACUGGAUUUCACAUCUGGCUCUUUGCAUAGAUAAGAGUGAAUGAUGGUAAUUGUCAAUGAGGACUAACUUACAGUGCAAUAAGUGAGAAAUAUGGAGGAAAGAGGAAAUCACAACUAACUCAUCUGUAGGUUAAAUGAAAUGUGGCCAGGGUGGAGCUAUUGGCUGUUAGGUUUUGCUAGACUUUGUUGUGGAUGAAGGUUGAUGUGGAGAGAUGUGAAUCUUUCUCUGAUUUCCCCUUUCCCUAUUCUGGCCAGGGUUUCCUGGCUUCCAACCCUCUGCACUGGGAAAUCAUUUACCUGCCUAUAAUGGCUGUGGUCAUGAGGAGGUGAUGUGAUGCCUGUGAUUUUUCCUGAAUUCAGGAGAGCAAUCCAGGGUGGAAGCCCUUGGAUUAGAGAGUGGCUUAGCAUCCUGUGGUACAGCAUCAAACGUAUUCAUUUUACACAAAAGAGUAUGCUUUGGAGGAUGGAGGGGAGCUAUGACAGACUGGGGUCAACUUAGGGAUUCCUUGGCCCCAUGUUGGAAAAGGGAGUGGUGCAGGGAUCUGGAUCUGAGGGUGAUUGUGGAUAUGCUACUAUGUCAAGGCAAACAUUCACUAUGCAUGUAUCAGAAAGCAAACUGAACAUGAGAAGAAGAGAGAAAUUAGAAGACUGAAAAAAUGGAAUAAAUGAAUAAUCAGAAAUUAAGCAAAUUUGUAUAUAUUCAGAGAAAAAUGUUGUGGGGAGGGAAAGGUGAUUUUGACAUCAAAAUAAUGCUCGGUAAGUUUCUUUAUCUUUGGGAUAGUUUGGGGAGGAAUGUACUUGUUUUCCUUCAUUUUAAACUGUUAUUUCUUUGGUUGUGGGAUCAUGAAGAAACCAUCAAUGUACAAAGACCAGAAAAGGUGACUUCUUCCUUUCUUCCUGCUUCCCUUCCUUUCCUUUUUUUCUAUCCUUCCUUUAGUCUUAGCUUUUUUCUUACCUUUCUUUCUUCCUUUCUUUUUUACUUUCUUCCUGUAUGCUUUCCUUU